UGAAAACCAAUGAAAACUAUCGAAACUUCCUCAGUGUGCUGCAGACGGCGCUGCAGUCAGAAAUCUUCGAAUCUUACACACUGACACUGGUUUCAGUUCUCAUCUGCGCUUGGUCUCUCUGGCUUUCACUAAGCAGUAUGAUUAAUAAUGAUUUACAGGAAGUAGUUCAAAAAUUAUCAUUUUAUUAGUAUAACGAAUAUAAUUAUUUAAAAUAUAUCCAAAGUAAUAUUAAAAUGUCUACUGUUCCAAAUUCGACGAAGGAUGGGGCACAAAGUAAAUUACAAGAUGUACAAACAAUGCAUUGUAUGGGACGUACGCAAGGUGAUGGCAUGGAAAAUAUGAUGACGGAAAAAAUUGAGAACAAACAGACAAAAUACCGCCUCGGAGACACACUUAUUUAUCAUCCAACUAAUUUGAAACAAUUAAGUUCAACUUCUCCAGUCACUCCAAAUGGUCCAAUAGUAAAUUUAGUACCAAAACAUGUUACUAGUGUAAAAGAUGAAAAACGUCUUUUAAAUUCAUUAAAGUCAAAGGAACCAAAAUUUGUUCCAUAUGAACCAUAUAAAGCAGCAGUUAACCCAAUCAUUCCAUAUAACAAAAAAGGUAAAAAAUUACAGAAAACCAAUUUAGAUAUGACUGCCUCUCGAGUUGCUGCAAUGAAAAUUCAUGAAAUGAAAGUGCCACCAAAUGAUACUACUAAUACAGGUGAAGGUAUCAGUAUGGAGAUUGAGUGGUUACAAGAAAAGAAAUCAUAUGAUGCAGAAAUACAAAAGCUCAAAGAAGAAAACAGUCAACUUGAAAAUCAAUUGAAAUUUCAAGCACAGGUUAAUGGUGAAUUGAAGAAUUUAUUAGUAGCUGCUGUAGGAGAAGAUCUUGAAACGAAAGUUCAUUUGUUAACUGAAGAUAAAUUACAACUUGCUCGAGCACUUUUAAAUUCAGUUCAACACCUUUCAACGCAUCAGGAACAAACUGAAUGGUUGGCUGGUCAGUGUGAAGUUUGGAGAAGUAAAUUUUUAGCUAGUAGCUUAAUGGUUGAAGAACUUGCAAAAUGGAAAGCAGCUCUUUGUCAAAGGACAACAGAUCUUCAAGAAGCAAUAAAAAGGCUCUUAGAGGAUCGUAAUCACGUUCGUGACAUGUCCCUUAAAACAUAUAGAACUCUUAGUAUUCUUCGUGAAAACUUUGAUCCUGUUGGAGCUGCCUCUUGUAAAAGACAUGAAAUACCAAGUACAAAUAUUAUAGAUUUAGCACAAGGCUGCUGUCAACUCGCAGAAAUUCUGAAAGUUCAACUUUUAAGUGGUGUAGACAAUAUUAAUUUACAACGUGAAAUCAAUAUAACUGGUCUAGAUAUGAAAACUCUUGCUGAAAAGACUGCUGAGAAAGUACUCAUGAGUCCAAAAUUGCUCAUGUCUGGAAGACAAGAUAUAGCUUGUAGCGCAGUGAUGGGAGCAGCUGUAGCAAUUGGAGGCCAAAUAUUUCUUCCACGAUGUGAUUCAAAUAGUUUAAUGUAUAACUCAACGGAUCGCGAGAAUUCACGUUCAGUCCAGGCUGGGAGCUCGUAGGUGUAACAUGUUGGUUUUUACCAGCGCUGUUUUUAGACGAACGCAAACGUUUGAAGGGAAGUAAUCUUGGGUAUUUUUACGCUCGCGUACCUACCAUCAGUCUUUCUUGGUAUUCCGUCUUUGAACCUUCGAAAAAGCUGUUGUUACAAAGAAUCGAAAACGUUUAAAGGAAGUGCGCGCACAAAAACGCAAAACUUUUCUCUCUACCCCAGCGUGAUUUUUCUCUAAAUCAGAACUCCAGGAUUCAAAGAAUCGUUUGACACCGCGUGUUCUAUUUUGGAAAAACAGUAAAUACUUCAAAUACCAUGCCACGUGAUCCUCUAAAUCGAAAGUGCGUCUGCAACGGAUCGUUUAACAAUAUCCAUUGUGAUCGCCAAUUUGGUUUAAGUGAGCGCAAGUUUUAUUAACGAUAACUGAACAAGUUUAAACGUUCACAGGGAUAUAAUUGUUUCAGUAAAUGGUUAAAUAUUGAUAUCGAAUGUAAAAUGAAUUAUGAUCGUUGAAGUGGUAAUUUCCAUGUAACGUGUACGCUAAGUUUAAAUUUCCGAGAAGGAGAAAAUUUCUGUUAAGUCGGCGAGAAUGCGAAGACACUAGACGGAGUUAUUUAUGUGAUCUAUUUUCACGCAAGUUGUGUUACCUUACUGGCCUAAAAAUAUCUGUGAAAUUUGAUUAGGGACAACUUGAUGCUUCGGUAUUAUCUAUUUGAAUAUUUAUACUGGUUCCGAGUGUGAUCGAAUAAGUUGAAAAGUUUUCGAGGUUACUCUUCUUUGAUCGCAUUGUACGCAGUACAAUUGGAGUAACAUUGAAUUUGUUGUUGCAUUUUCUGUAUUGCUUUGUUAAACGAAGCAAAUUUUUGCCUAUGAUAAUUUUAUAUAUUUAUGAAUUGUACGAAUUCUGUAAACUGAUUCACAGUGACGGUGAAACUGUUAACAAUUAAUGCAUUGAUUAUAAGUUAAUAUUCUUAUUAUUACUUACGAAGAUUUAAUAGUAGGUUGAGAGAUAUAAUGACAAUAAUUCGGAAAUGAUUUCAUUUAAUCGUAUAAUCAAUAACAUUUCGGUAGGUAAAUAUAGAUUUAAAAUUGUUUUUUGGCAGUUACAGGAAUAUUUUCAUCGCGUAAUCGAAUAUGGAUGAUUAACGAUAAAUACUCGAAGUACGUAUUAAUACGUUUGAAAUUACGAGAAUUAACCCUUUUACCCUCGAAUUAUUUUGGGUUGAACUUGUGUAAACUUAUUUAUGAGGAAUAUGUAGGGUUUAAAUGUUUGAAAUAUAAUCCAAAAUUGAAUUCCGAAGAUAUCUCAAUGAAACAAAAAUCAAUUUGUCUAUUUGUUUUUGUAUAAAUUACAAAAUUAGUUUUUAAGUUUUAAAAUAACAUCUGAUUUUGCAUAUAUCCAAACUGGAUGUAACGAAUAGAGACAAAUAAAUGAGAUAACAAAUAAUGAAAUUCAGUUUCAAAAUAACAAAGAUAAUACGUAAGAUAAUACUUAAAUAUAAUACUCUGAUUACUGUAACUUAAGGGACUAUUAUCGAAAGCGCAAAAGAAAAAAAUUUUUUAUUUUAUAUAACAAACAAUUGUGGAAUGUCAAUGUUACAUAUAAUAAUAGACAUGUUAAUUUAAUAAAUUAGAAUUUGUGUUGUUUAUUUUGAAUAAUUUUGUUCAUUGUUAUAGCCACAUAAAAAACCAAACAAAUUAUUAAAAUAUAAUUUUGUCGGCAUCGUACAAACCAGAGAAACAAAAUGACGGACGUUUGAUUUUUCAACACUAUUUUUGAACCUUGAUUAUUUAAAAAUAUGGUUAAAUAUUAAUGAAUGAGUAUAAUUCUAGUUGCAACGAUAGCUAUAAACAAAACUAUAUUUAAAUAAUUUUUUUAAUUUUUUAGUUUCAAUGUCAAGUUAUCGUGUAGAAUGUGGAAAAAGAGGACAAAUUUCAUGUUGCUGUUAUCAACGAAACAAAUCAUUAAACAUAAACCAAAAAAAUUGUGUUCAUUAAUUUAACAUAACUACUAUUAUUAUUAAAAACAUUGACAACCACAAUUUUUUGUUAUUUAAAAUAAAAAUUUUUAAAAGAAAUUUUUUCUUUCGUGCGUACGAUAAUAAUUAAUUCUCUUUAAUGAAUAUCGAAUUCAAUUUCGCUAAUGACUACAGAAAAUAGUAAUAAUAAUAUAAUAUAAUAUAACUGUUAUUAAGUAUCGAU
RNA transcript from Hylaeus anthracinus, 3751 nucleotides. It is a transcript of the gene named golgin-45, with no coding region annotated. Lineage: Eukaryota; Metazoa; Arthropoda; Insecta; Hymenoptera; Colletidae. The transcript has 8 exons. The record is from RefSeq and is a predicted model, not a curated record.